CCUACGGGAGGCAGCAGUGAGGAAUAUUGGUCAAUGGGCGAGAGCCUGAACCAGCCAAGUCGCGUGAGGGAAGACGGUCCUAUGGAUUGUAAACCUCUUUUGUCGGGGAGCAAAAAGGCCUCGUGAGGCCACAAGCGAGAGUACCCGAAGAAAAAGCAUCGGCUAACUCCGUGCCAGCAGCCGCGGUAAUACGGAGGAUGCGAGCGUUAUCCGGAUUUAUUGGGUUUAAAGGGUGCGUAGGCGGACUGGAAAGUCAGCGGUAAAAUCGAGAGGCUCAACCUCUUUCCGCCGUUGAAACUGUCGGUCUUGAGUGGGCGAGAAGUAUGCGGAAUGCGUGGUGUAGCGGUGAAAUGCAUAGAUAUCACGCAGAACUCCGAUUGCGAAGGCAGCAUACCGGCGCCCGACUGACGCUGAGGCACGAAAGCGUGGGUAUCGAAC
This 438-nucleotide ribosomal RNA is filed under the name uncultured bacterium. RNAcentral describes it as "bacterial SSU rRNA". It matches the Rfam family "Bacterial small subunit ribosomal RNA", at positions 338 to 773 of the family's 1533-position model. The record is from RNAcentral.